This 233-nucleotide long non-coding RNA is filed under the name Elaeis guineensis (African oil palm). RNAcentral's name for it is "long non-coding RNA (EGUI_LNC062868)". The record is from RNAcentral. Lineage: Eukaryota; Viridiplantae; Streptophyta; Magnoliopsida; Arecales; Arecaceae.
AUUAUCAUGCAUCUUAAUGGGAGGCUAUGAUCUAGUUAUCUCAUAACUAGCUCAUUUUAUGGACCUAAUAAUUUAGAAGAUUUGGUUAAUACAUUUUAGAAGUAAUCAACCAAUCUGCAAGUCAGAAAUCCUCUCACUGACUUCACCAAAUCAUGUAAAGGACUAGUGACCCCAACCAGUAAGUCAUAAAUCCUCCUACUAACUUCAUCAAGUUAUGAGAAGAAUUAGAGACA